GCUUGGGCCACACUGGAGGAGGAGAUAGCAAUGCUCUCCCCAAAAGAAGAGCCAGACAAAACAAGAAGAAGGCAUAUUCUCAGAGAAAUUUUUAAAGAUGAGAUAGUGAGAUUCCAUGCAGAGCCAGCACAAGCUGUAAUUACAAGAGGAAAGAGCCCAACUACUGACUCUUGAAUGAAGAGCAUGCUGCAUUGUGCAUUACCACUUCCUUCCUUGGCCUGGAAGUUGCCUGGCAUCUAGGAAGAAAACACAAUGGUGCAGACCACGGGCUCUGGAGCAAGACCGCCCAAGCAGGAACCCUGGACUCAACAUGAUCAGCAGUAACCUUGACCAAGUUAUUUAACCUCUCUACACCUCAUUUUCAUUACUAUAAGAUGGAGCUAUUCAUAGUACCCUUGCCUCAGUGUUGUUGGAAAGAUUAAAUUAUUAAUAUGCAUAAAGUGCCUACCACAGCACUUUGCUGUACAACUUGCUGUUUAACUGUUUGUUAUUCUGUAUGUACAGGAACGAGGAAGUAGCAGGCCCGGAUCCCUAGGGGAAUCAUUACUGCUGGAUAGUCAGAGGAGAUUUAAAAAUGAAGACUUCAGAAAACUCCAUUAGUUGCUACGAAAUGUCUCAGUAUUUUUUCCUCCCAUACAACAAAUAUAUAUAAUUAGUUUUUUGUAUGAGACAGUCCUUUCAACCUAAUAAAUAUGUAUGACCCUCAUAGUAGUAGUUAGAA
This 721-nucleotide long non-coding RNA is filed under the name Vulpes vulpes (red fox). RNAcentral describes it as "lncRNA (ENSVVUG00000010717.1)". The record is from RNAcentral. Lineage: Eukaryota; Metazoa; Chordata; Mammalia; Carnivora; Canidae.